RNAcentral lists this ribosomal RNA (292 nucleotides) under uncultured bacterium. RNAcentral's name for it is "partial 16S ribosomal RNA". The record is from RNAcentral.
GGACUACUGGGGUAUCUAAUCCUGUUCGCUCCCCACGCUUUCGCUCCUCAGCGUCAGGUAAGGCCCAGAGAACCGCCUUCGCCACCGGUGUUCCUCCCGAUAUCUGCGCAUUUCACCGCUACACCGGGAAUUCCAUUCUCCCCUACCUACCUCUAGUCUGCCCGUAUCCACUGCAAGGCCAGGGUUAAGCCCCAGCUUUUCACAGCAGACGUGACAGUCCGCCUACGAGCUCUUUACGCCCAAUAAUUCCGGACAACGCUUGCGCCCUACGUGUUACCGCGGCUGCUGGCAC